Molecule: ribosomal RNA, 186 nt
Filed under: uncultured bacterium
Lineage: Bacteria
Description: partial 16S ribosomal RNA
Rfam family: Bacterial small subunit ribosomal RNA
Source: RNAcentral
ACUACAUGAAGCUGGAAUCGCUAGUAAUCGCGAAUCAGAAUGUCGCGGUGAAUACGUUCCCGGGUCUUGUACACACCGCCCGUCACACCAUGGGAGUCAGUAACGCCCGAAGUCAGUGACCCAACCUUAUGGAGGGAGCUGCCGAAGGCGGGACCGAUAACUGGGGUGAAGUCGUAACAAGGUACC